AUGGACCCUCCGUCCAGAGUGGUGAACGAAGGAGACCCCUUGCUCCUCACUUGCUUGGCCAAAGGAGGCGGCGUGGAGAAAAGAUUCCAUUUCUUCAGGGAUGGUGUUCAGAUUAUCUCCGACAGCGGUGGGUCCCUGCGGUUCUCCAGAGAACAUGGGGGUGCCUCCGCAGGUGUGUCUGUCAACAUCCUGAAGGCUAAGCUCAACCACACCGGGGAAUUUGCCUGCAGGUAUGAGGAAAAAACGAGCAGGGGGUGGAUCGUCUCUCCGUGGAGUCAGAAGGUGUACCUCACAGUUUGGGCACCAAAUUCCUCUUCUCCACCCCUGCUAUAUGCAUGUUUGGCAAUUCCACUGGCGAUCCUGAUGGUCCCUCUUGCUUUUUACUGCACGAGAAGGAAUAGAGCGUUGAAAUCCGAACAGGAAAACAGGGAAGAAGCAAAUUCCGAGUACCUUGAAAUGUUCAGCGCCACAAGGAAGCCUCAGAGGUAAUGGCAACUAAUGCUGGUAUAACACUGAUGUGAUGUGUGUCUUCAUAAUUUCUUAUUUAUUUAAAGCAUUUCUUCCAAAAAGUGUUCCAAACUGGCCGACCAAAAUAACAAUGGUUGUGGCACACAAGGAGGAAGGGAGGAGCGAAAGAGCCAGCUCAGGCAGCAGUUCAGUUCCUAAAGUUUUGAACAUAGUUGGAGGCGAAGAGCACCCACAAACCAUGCAAGGAGUUUCCAGAGGGGAGGAAAACUUGAACCCAGAGCCUGGCAACCUGGAAAUGCAGGAGAGACUUAUCAGUCAAGAGAGGGACAACGUCUUGUUGGCUGGGAGAUAAAAGGAUGAAAGGCGAUUGGAGGAACAGGCAGUGGGGGGUGUCCCAGGCAGAAAAAGGAGCAAAGAGACCCCACAGGAAGAAUCAUAGAAUUGUAGAAUUGGAAGGGACCCAUGUAGAAUUGAAAGGGAUCAUCUAGUCCCACCCCCCUGCAAUGCAGGGAAAUGCAGCUGCCCCUUACGGGGAUCAAACCUGCAACCUUGGCAUCAUCAGCACCACGCUCUAGCCAACUGAGCUAUCCAGGAAGAAGGACAAGUUUGGGGAUGGCAGAUAUGGAGGGGGAAACACAUUUUAAAAAUUAAAGAAUUGUCCAGUAGCACCUUGGAGACCAACUAAGUUUGUUCUUGGUAUGAGCUUUCAUGUGCACGCACACUUCUUCAGAUACACUGAAACAGAAGUCAAAAGACCUUUGUAUAUAGUGAGAGGGUGGGGAGGGAUAUUACUCAGAAGGGUGGUGGGAAUGGGUGACUGGCUGAUAGUAGUAAACAGUCGACACCUAUCAGCCAAUCACCCAUUCCCACCACCCUUCUGAGUAAUACCCCUCCCUGUCUCACUACAUAUAAGGGUCUGGUGACUUCUGUUUCAGUGUAUCUGAAGAAGUGUGCAUGCACACGAAAGCUCAUACCAAGAACAAACUUAGUUGGUCUCCAAGGUGCUACUGGACAAUUUUUUAAUUUUUAUAUAUAUAUUUCUACUGCGUCAGACCAACACCGCUACCUACCUGAUUCAGGAGGGGGAAAUGGCUGGCAUAUUGGAGAGAAGGAAAGAUGUCUGUAAGGGAUGGGGUGGCUGGGACAGGGACAGAGCCAGUGGACAGGGACAGGUGGGGGCAGAAGGGGCGAAGGGAGCAGAGCAGGAUUCCAGGUUGCUGGAGGCUGGGCUAGAUGACCCUUGGCGGUCCCUUCCAACUCUAUGAUUCUAUGAUUCUAAUGUCUAUUCUGGACCCAGGAGGGCAGGCAGCUCCUGCUACAUGGUUCUGUCCUCAGACAGAUGCUUUGAUGGCCGUUUGGACUUCUCACAAGAGGGGGAUUAAUCAUUGAGUUACUUGGCCCUUCACCUUUGCUGUGAGAUGCUAUGCGUUUUCUCUGUGUAAGAACUAGGACGGAAACUGUGGAAACAUUUAAAAAUAAAAUAGUUUAGCGAGGUUAUUUCCCCCUCCAUUCAUGGCUGGGAUUGGGAGAUUCUUUCUGUCUUUCAUAUUAAAACCAUCACAACUUCCUCCAUGAAACCUUUGAUAAUACAUUAACUGGCUCCCUCCCCCACAAUCUCUAUUUAAGGAAAUAGAAACUGAGCUAUGGGAUUGGCUGCUACAGGAUGUGGUUUAGGUGCCUUUUGAAAAGAGGUACAUUCGUGAAUAAUAUUCUGCCAAAACAUUUUAGUCAUGACAGCUAAGUAGAUCUUCACUGUGCAGAAGCAGUCUACCUCUGAAUUGCUGUGCACUGGAGAUAAGCAAAAGAGGAGGGUGGCCUGUUUGUGAGUUGCCCAGGAGUGUCCAGCUGGCUGCUGUCAAAACUGAAUGAAGCGAACCCUCAAUUUGCUCCCAACAGCCUUGGGGGGAUCAUCAUUCUUUGAACAUGUCCCUCAAUUUCCUUCUCCUUUUCAGGACUCAGACGCCUUUUACUGCCUUGCCGCCCCCUGCUCUGCCUCAGCCCCCAAUAUCGCAAUCAUGGAUGGAGAGCGGAGCCAAACCAGGGGAAGACCAGGAGGAAGGUCUCUACAACAACAUUCCCCUUCAGGGCAAGAAGAGAGCAGAACAAUACAGAGAUUCUGAAGAAGAAUGAGCCAUCGGGGAGAUUAAAAUAUUCAGAUGGGGAUUUAUGACCAGGGAGAUGGGGUGGAAGGGGUCAGGGAAGAGGGCAGUGUUUUUCUCUGCAUACGGCUUGGCUCAACUUCUGCAGCACUUUCCUCAAGAGCAGGGGUCAGCAAACUUUUUCAGCAGGCGGCCGGUCCACUGUCCCUCAGACCUUGUGGGGGACCGGACUAUAUUUUGAAGGAAAAAAUAUGAACGAAUUCCUAUGCCCCACAAAUAACCCAGAAAUGCAUUUUAAAUAAAAGAACACAUUCUACUCAUGUAAAAACACGCAGAUUCCCAGACCGUCCACGGGCCGGGUUUAGAAGGGAUUGAGCCUUUUCCAUUCUCAUUUUAAUCUUCUGACAUACCCAAGUACAGCCCACCCAAACACCCCCUGACCAUUGACCAUGCUGGCUUGGACAGAUACAGUUUGGUCCAACAACAACUGGAAGGCUACAGGUUCCCCCAGCCUUGUUCUAGAUAGAGGACAGAGGACCUUCUUGGUAGUGGCACCCUCCCUGUGGAAUGCCCGCCCUUCAGAUGUCAAGGAAAUAAACACCUAUCUGACUUUUGAAGGACAUCUGCAGGCAGCCCUGUUUAGGAAAGUUUUAAAGACGAUGUUUUUAGAUAUGCUGUAAACUGCCCAGAUGGGCAGGAUAUAAAUAAUAAAAUUAUUAUUAUUAUUAUUAUUAUUAUUAUUAUUAUUAUUAUUAUUAUUAUAAAAUGAUUUGCAAUAGCUAGAUGUGCCAUUGGAAGCUUAUGU
Long non-coding RNA from Podarcis muralis (Common wall lizard), 3372 nucleotides. The record is from Ensembl. NCBI's taxonomy places the organism in Eukaryota, Metazoa, Chordata, Lepidosauria, Squamata, Lacertidae.